UGCUUAUAUUAUGUUGAAAGUCAUCUUUGGCUUACGUGCAUAGAUGGACUUGGUAUGAUUAUGACCAGGGAUUAUUCAAUAUAAUCAUGACCGUAAUGUGACGAAUGAUGUGGUAAAAGUCCUCAUUGGCUUGUAGUUCAUUGGUGGACAGUUGUUGGUAUGAUUAUGACUAGGGAUUAUUCGGUAUAGUCAUGACCAUUGAUGAUUACAUGAAUAUCGAAAUUAAAAAUGGAAGAAAUGAUGAAGGUACUAUACUGUAAUAAUUCGAGCCCCAAAACGUGCAAUUAUCGAAAUUAUGUUUUCCUAUAAAUAGAAGUUCAUUUUUCUUUCAUUCUCACCAAUUUACUAAGACUCACAAGAGCAUUUAUAAAGAGAGAAGCUAUAGAGAGAAAGAAGAAUAGUAGUCUGCUACUUCACUACUUCAUUAUCC
RNAcentral lists this long non-coding RNA (430 nucleotides) under Panax ginseng (ginseng). Its description in RNAcentral is "long non-coding RNA (PGIN_LNC006443)". The record is from RNAcentral. Lineage: Eukaryota; Viridiplantae; Streptophyta; Magnoliopsida; Apiales; Araliaceae.